RNAcentral lists this ribosomal RNA (720 nucleotides) under uncultured Acinetobacter sp. RNAcentral describes it as "bacterial SSU rRNA". It matches the Rfam family "Bacterial small subunit ribosomal RNA", at positions 78 to 793 of the family's 1533-position model. The record is from RNAcentral. Lineage: Bacteria; Pseudomonadati; Pseudomonadota; Gammaproteobacteria; Moraxellales; Moraxellaceae.
GCUUGCACCUUAUCUUAGCGGCGGACGGGUGAGUAAUGCUUAGGAAUCUGCCUAUUAGUGGGGGACAACAUUCCGAAAGGAAUGCUAAUACCGCAUACGUCCUACGGGAGAAAGCAGGGGAUCUUCGGACCUUGCGCUAAUAGAUGAGCCUAAGUCGGAUUAGCUAGUUGGUGGGGUAAAGGCCUACCAAGGCGACGAUCUGUAGCGGGUCUGAGAGGAUGAUCCGCCACACUGGGACUGAGACACGGCCCAGACUCCUACGGGAGGCAGCAGUGGGGAAUAUUGGACAAUGGGGGGAACCCUGAUCCAGCCAUGCCGCGUGUGUGAAGAAGGCCUUAUGGUUGUAAAGCACUUUAAGCGAGGAGGAGGCUACUGAGACUAAUACUCUUGGAUAGUGGACGUUACUCGCAGAAUAAGCACCGGCUAACUCUGUGCCAGCAGCCGCGGUAAUACAGAGGGUGCGAGCGUUAAUCGGAUUUACUGGGCGUAAAGCGUGCGUAGGCGGCUUUUUAAGUCGGAUGUGAAAUCCCCGAGCUUAACUUGGGAAUUGCAUUCGAUACUGGGAAGCUAGAGUAUGGGAGAGGAUGGUAGAAUUCCAGGUGUAGCGGUGAAAUGCGUAGAGAUCUGGAGGAAUACCGAUGGCGAAGGCAGNCNUCUGGCCUAAUACUGACGCUGAGGUACGAAAGCAUGGGGAGCAAACAGGAUUAGAUACCCUGGUAG